CAGGUGGUUGUGCAAAUGGCGCGCGUGGAGGGGCUGAUCUCCGAGUCCUACGGCGCUUGGAGAGGCUGUUGGAGGCAGGGCUUGCGGCGCUACUUACUGCUGGUGCUACCUAGGCUAGGGUUUUUUGCUUAGCUUUACUAUGUUGGGCUGGUUUAAUUGGGUUAAAUUUGGGCUGUGCUUUGUUUUAUAUGGGCCCGGGCAUUAUUGGGCUUGUACA
Molecule: long non-coding RNA, 217 nt
Filed under: Gossypium raimondii (Peruvian cotton)
Lineage: Eukaryota; Viridiplantae; Streptophyta; Magnoliopsida; Malvales; Malvaceae
Description: long non-coding RNA (GRAI_LNC004784)
Source: RNAcentral